GACGAACGCUGGCGGCGUGCUUACCACAUGCAAGUCGAACGGUGAAGCGCCUUCCUUUUUGGUGGGUGUGGAUGAGUGGCGAACGGGUGAGUAACACGUGAGUAACCUGCCCCCUUCUUCUGGAUAACCGCAUGAAAGUGUGGCUAAUACGGGAUAUUCUGGGUCUGUCGCAUGAUGGGUCUGGGAAAGAUAUUGUUUCGGUGGGGGAUGGGCUCGCGGCCUAUCAGCUUGUUGGUGGGGUGAUGGCCUACCAAGGCGGUGACGGGUAGCCGGCCUGGGAGGGUGGACGGUCACACUGGGACUGAGACACGGCCCAGACUCCUACGGGAGGCAGCAGUGGGGAAUAUUGCACAAUGGGCGCAAGCCUGAUGCAGCGACGCCGCGUGAGGGAUGGAGGCCUUCGGGUUGUGAACCUCUUUCGCCAGUGAAGCAGGCCUGCCUCGUUUGUGGGUGGGUUGACGGUAGCUGGAGAAGAAGCGCCGGCUAACUACGUG
This 494-nucleotide ribosomal RNA is filed under the name uncultured bacterium. RNAcentral's name for it is "partial 16S ribosomal RNA". It matches the Rfam family "Bacterial small subunit ribosomal RNA", at positions 28 to 507 of the family's 1533-position model. The record is from RNAcentral.